Molecule: small nucleolar RNA, 138 nt
Organism: Tachyglossus aculeatus (Australian echidna)
Lineage: Eukaryota; Metazoa; Chordata; Mammalia; Monotremata; Tachyglossidae
Source: RefSeq, a predicted model, not a curated record
CCACUCUCAGAAUCACACCUAGAGAGUUUCCAGUACUCUACCAGUCUUGGCUUCAGGAGGGAGAGUCAAGCAGAGGCAUAGCCAUUCCAUUCCUAGCUUGGGCAGUGGCUAGCGGGUGGAAAAGAAUCUGCUAUAAGU